Molecule: ribosomal RNA, 120 nt
Filed under: uncultured archaeon
Lineage: Archaea
Description: partial 16S ribosomal RNA
Rfam family: Archaeal small subunit ribosomal RNA
Source: RNAcentral
GCGCGAAACCUCCGCAAUGUGAGAAAUCGCGACGGGGGGAUCCCAAGUGCUAUUCUUAACGGGAUGGCUUUUCUUAAGUGUAAAAAGCUUUUGGAAUAAGAGCUGGGCAAGACCGGUGCC